CUCCUGUGUGCACAUAUCGCAGUCGCCAUUGGAGACAGUCAGAAGGAAAUCUCUAGAGCAACAAUCUGUGUAGAGAGAGUUAAUAUUUUGUUGCAUUUUUGUUAAUUUGAUCUCAAACGACCACAAAUCUAUCCGUAAGUUACCUCUGAAACAUAUUUGAACUUCAAAUCAAAGUUUUCUUUAUUAACGGACGUUAAUCCAAUAGAACAGACCGAACAGCGUGGCCUAAUUUAGGCGAGCGCUGAAGGAGCUUCUAACGACGCCAACGUGAAGCUAUCACUGAAAAACAUGAAGACCACUGACAAGAGCAUGCAAGCUCAGACAGCACGUCUCAGUGAGGGGCUGAGGUUGAUCUUUGAUCAAGAGUCAUCCAGCUCUCCCUCCUCUAGUCCCCAUUCCAGCAGCAGGAGUAGUGGAGGGAGCAGCUGCAGUACCAGCCGGGACAGUCGCUCAUCCAGAAGCAUGAAGCGAUCUCAUAGGAGGAGAGGUCAUUCCAGAUCUUCCUCCAGUUCCUCUACAUCAAGUACCCAAUCUCGUUCCCAUUCUCGUCCUCGUCCACGAUGCCACAGACAGUCGUCACAUCAUCGUUGCCGCCGUCAUCGCCACUCGCCACCUCGCCGGUACCGGGCACGCUCCCGCUCCUACAGUCCUUCCCCAUCAUCAGAUCGCCAUUACACACGCCGAAGCCGCUCUCGCUCCAGGUCACCCGACAGCAGAAGGCACCGAGGCAGUGUUGGCCGAUACCGGAGCAGACCUUCUGACUCCAGCCGCAGGAGCUACAGGAGCAGGUCUCGGACACCCGAGCAGUCCUCAGUCCAUCUCAGUCAGGAUGAAAAGAGGGAGCUUCUGAAAAUCGCUGCAGAAAACGCAGUGAAGAUUGUGGGGUCAGAACGGUUGCAGUUGCCUGAAAGUGUGAAGAGGACCCUCCAGCCGGAAGAGAAAGCGUCCCUGUCACCAGAUCAUAGCACUCCAGUCCCAAACAAAUGGGUGAGACCAGAUCCAGAACCCCAGCAGAGUCUAGAACAGGUGGGUGUUAACAGAAGCAAAUAGUUUAUUCUUUUGUGCGUCCUUUUUGAAUGAGAGAGCUACUGACCGUAUUUUACUCUUGUACAAGGUAACAGUACUUGAGCUGCUUAAAUGCAGAUGUGCAAUUCUGACAUCAUGUAGUGUAGUAUUUGAAACUGACCAUUGCCAAUAUGGUUAUCUGGAUGUCCACACACAAGUCAAUGAGUAAAAGUUUAAGAGCGAAGGGGUCUCUCUUUUUUUUGUAAUUGUGAAACAUUUUUUUAAACUGACCCCUUUCUCUGGGUUGUUUCUGUAACUUUUCCAUUUCCUUUUCAUAAAGAAGGUGUAUUUGCAGGCAUCUGACUGGCCUGGAUCAGGCUGAUUAAAAAUAGUCCUCAAAACGCUGUGUGUUAAUUACAGCAGAGGCUUAUUCGAGUAGUUUGAAUCAUCGAGUCUGUCACGGACAUUUAAAGGAAAUGUUGAAGAUAACAUGGUCUGCUCUCCAGCACCCCUCGGAUUUAGGAGAGCGAGGGGGCAGUCAUGUGACGCCACUGGGUUUGUGGAAAGGGUUAAUUCUUAAGUCUCACUUGCACAUCAAAGGUCAAGUAACAGUUGAUGCCUGUAGUGUACCUUGUUUAAGAAGUACAGUACAUAUUAGUAGCGUUACUAUAGUUAAGUAUACAUCUCUUUGUAUUGCAUUGAUCUCCCAUCCUUUCAAAUUGGAGACUGUAGGUCGUUGCAACAUAGACAUUAAAGAAGUAGCCAACGCCUCAUAUCUGACUACAUGUAACGUACUAGCAGGUUCUUUUCUUCAUGCAUAACAGAAACUUUUGAUGUUUGUUUGCUCUUGGUUGAAACGGAUGCGUUGUUAUUUGGCAGAGCCUACCUCCAGCUUGCAGAAGAAGUGCAGGCGCUGGGACUGCACACUAGUGACUAUCCCUGAGCCCUGAGCUGAAAACUUAAAAACUGAAGAAGAAACAACCCCCUCCCCCUCUCCAUGUACCAAAGAUAAGUUUGUGCCCAUGCUGUGGCACAAGUUGGGGUUCAAAAACUGCAUCAUCAGAGAAGGGAUCUUUUAUUUUUAUUUUUGUGCUGUUAUUUUUUUCCUUUUCCCUUCAAAUGUACUGGAACUAACUGGUCCAAAAGUUCGGCAACUGCCCAUUGGCAGCAGUGCAGACAGAUCUUCGUUGUAACAUUGCAGAUCGUAGCUAUUAAGUCACAAUUAUACCUGUACAUUGUGACCUUAAUGAUCUUGAGAUAGUCAUAUGCAUGGUUUGUUGUCUAAAGACAAAAAAAGGUCACAUCUCUAUCAGUCUGAGGAUGAUAAAGAAAGUUUGAAAAGAGUUUGUGAUCACUUUGUUAAACAAGUCUGUUCCUUUUGUUUUUCUGGCAGAUCACAGAGACGACCUCCGAGGAUGGUGAAUUAAGCCCCAAGAUGUCUCCUAAGAGAAAACCCAUCAUGUUCAGCAUCAAUAACACUGUUGCAAAGCCGACAAAUGGCAAACCUCAGGGCAUGGCAGAGGUUAAGGUAACCUCAAGGGUUGACAUCGUGGGCAGCAAAAAGCCUUAUGGCCAGUGGAUCCCAGUCAAGACAAAAGUCCUUCUUUCAUCGAAACGUUAGCAAGCUUGCUUGUCCAUGCAAGACUUUGUAAAUAUUGUAUUUAUUGUAUAUAUAUGGGGUGGAAAGGGGUGUAUGGAAUUCAUCAUAGAUAUUUUCUUGCAGAUGUACAGUAAAAAGCAAUUGAGGGAAUUGGGAAGAAGGCAAGAAGAAAAUCUACAGGUGGGAUAUUUUUGUGAUGUUUCUGUGGUUUUAAAUAAAGACAUUUAAUGUGGAA
RNA transcript from Sardina pilchardus (European sardine), 2840 nucleotides. It is a transcript of the gene named arginine/serine-rich protein 1, with no coding region annotated. The transcript is spliced from 5 exons. Lineage: Eukaryota; Metazoa; Chordata; Actinopteri; Clupeiformes; Clupeidae. The record is from RefSeq and is a predicted model, not a curated record.